This 472-nucleotide long non-coding RNA is filed under the name Sus scrofa (pig). Its description in RNAcentral is "KCNQ1 overlapping transcript 1 conserved region 1 (ENSSSCG00070015044.1)". It matches the Rfam family "KCNQ1 overlapping transcript 1 conserved region 1". Lineage: Eukaryota; Metazoa; Chordata; Mammalia; Artiodactyla; Suidae. The record is from RNAcentral.
CUGGCCUGGCUGGGAGGCGGCCUGGGAAGGGACCUGUGUUUCUCAAGCCCGCGCCCUCGGGGCCUGGGGGUGGGGCCCGAGCAGAUGUCUGCAUUUGGUGGCCAGGGCCCGGAGCCGGAUGCUGAGAACGAGGCCUGCAACUCAUUUCUCCCCGUUAGACAUUCUCAGAACAUCUGCACCGUUUCCAAGGCUUCUCCCUCACUAAUUGCUUUGAUUAUUGUGUGAAGUUAAGAACUGGCACAUUGCUGCGAUGUUGUGAUGAAGGUGAAAAGAUCGCUCUUAAUUAGAUUAAAAACAUUUUUUUCGUCCUCUGUAAUUUCGCCUUGAAAAUCAAGGCCAUUUUUUUUCAAUUUGUUUUCUUCAUCCAAAGACCUCCAGAAACCUUCCCCACCACCUCUCCAGAGGGUUCUUGGGAAUGUCCUGUGAGCUCAGCUCUUGGAGAAGACCGAGCUUAACCCAGAUUCCAUUGUAU